CUUUUGUGUAAUUCUUGCUCUCGACAGCCGUAAAUUUCGUAUGUUCUAAAAUAACUGCACCAGCUACGGGUACUAUCAACGUCAAACAGUAUAAUAAUAUGGGGAUUUAUUAAAACGACCGGCGACAGAACGAUCGGGAAGUUGCGGAAAACCAGAAGUCCUUCCAGUUGUUGGUGGUAAAAUAGCAGGUUGUUUGUACUUUACAUGAUAAGCCGGAAAACUCAGAUAAGACCUGUCAAUAAGAAUAAAAUUGCAUUUUAGAGGGACAUUGGAAUGCGUAUUGUGGCUCUCUGAAGUACGUUAAUGGAUGAUGACUUCUAGGAUAACCCUUGUAGUACUCUCGAUGCAUUUGGCAAGCCUGAA
Pieris napi is the source of this 363-nucleotide long non-coding RNA. RefSeq lists it as uncharacterized. The record is from RefSeq and is a predicted model, not a curated record. Lineage: Eukaryota; Metazoa; Arthropoda; Insecta; Lepidoptera; Pieridae. The transcript has 3 exons.